UUCAAGUGUAUGAUCAUUUCUUCCUCUUAAACACUUCAGCCUGCUUGAACAAAAUCAAAACAACUUUGGGAAUGUUGUUAAACUACCUUCGUCCAUCACUAGUGGCAGACAGAUUCCUCUGUGCAGCUUAUCUGUGAAAUGUGUGAGGUGUAGCUGUGAAUUUACCAGCAUGGAUCAGAGGAAGGACAGAAAAGAAGGAGCCACUUCUGCUUUUACCACACAGA
Molecule: long non-coding RNA, 224 nt
Organism: Xiphophorus maculatus (southern platyfish)
Lineage: Eukaryota; Metazoa; Chordata; Actinopteri; Cyprinodontiformes; Poeciliidae
Exons: 3
Source: RefSeq, a predicted model, not a curated record